RNAcentral lists this ribosomal RNA (487 nucleotides) under uncultured bacterium. RNAcentral's name for it is "bacterial SSU rRNA". It matches the Rfam family "Bacterial small subunit ribosomal RNA", at positions 8 to 474 of the family's 1533-position model. The record is from RNAcentral.
AGAGUUUGAUCCUGGCUCAGAAUCAACGCUGGCGGCGUGCCUAACACAUGCAAGCCGAACGCGAAAGUCCCGCAAGGGGCGAGUAGAGUGGCAAACGGGUGAGUAACGCGUGGGCGACCUACCUUCGAGUGGGGGAUAACCUUCCGAAAGGAGGGCUAAUACCGCAUGACAUCCCGUGUUUGGAUACACGGACAUCAAAGUCGGGGAUCGCAAGACCUGACGCUUGGAGAGGGGCCUGCGUCCGAUUAGCUAGUUGGUGGGGUAACGGCCCACCAAGGCUUCGAUCGGUAUCCGGCCUGAGAGGGCGGACGGACACACUGGGACUGAGACACGGCCCAGACUCCUACGGGAGGCAGCAGUAGGGAAUUGUUCGCAAUGGGCGCAAGCCUGACGACGCAACGCCGCGUGGAGGAUGAAGACCUUCGGGUCGUAAACUCCUUUCGACCGAGAUGAAUACCCACCGACCUAAUACGUUGGUGGGCUGACA